AUGGCAAUAUAUUGUUCAAAAACCUUUCUUAAUCACAACUUGAUCAAGUUGAGAUUACACUUAAAUUCCUCAAAGUUCCAUGUGGGCAAUGCAUGCUUUUGUGAAGCCAUCUGCUACCUGGUCCUUGGAGUGAAUGAAGCAAAUUUGCAACUUCUUGGAAGCAAGUCUUUCUCUGACAAAAUAAAAGUCUAUCUCAAUGUGUUUAAUUCUCGCCUAAAAAACUGGGUUAGCAGAAAGAUAUGUGGCACGAAGAUUAUCACACCACAAGCAGGGAACUUGUUUAGAAUGUAUUCCGAGUUCCUUCAACAUAGACUAAACCCAAAUAAUUCCCGCUGUCGCAUUUGCUAA
This 348-nucleotide ribosomal RNA is filed under the name Triticum aestivum (bread wheat). RNAcentral describes it as "partial small subunit ribosomal RNA". The record is from RNAcentral. Lineage: Eukaryota; Viridiplantae; Streptophyta; Magnoliopsida; Poales; Poaceae.